Molecule: long non-coding RNA, 673 nt
Filed under: Ananas comosus (pineapple)
Lineage: Eukaryota; Viridiplantae; Streptophyta; Magnoliopsida; Poales; Bromeliaceae
Description: long non-coding RNA (ACOM_LNC037310)
Source: RNAcentral
UGGGUGGUGCUUUCCAAACUCAUUGAAAUUCUCUCUAUGCCUAAUGUGUCAUUCUUUGAGCAUAUGUUAUAUAUAUUGUUGCAUGCAUUUUAGGGUAAAGUAACGAUGAAAUGUGAUGAUUGCAUGAUUGUGAGUUCAACGUGCCAAAUGUGAUGGUUGAGAACCUUAUGAAUGUCAAAACCCUAGAUGUAUGCAUGAGAGAAAAUGUGAGCACCCAAAGUGAGCAAAAGAACAGAGUGACACAAUGACAUAGAUCGAGUGGCAUUCGAUAAAGUUAAUGUGAAAUGACACUAGAGUUAGUGUGAUGUAAAGAUCGAAAGUGAUGUAAAGAAUGAAGAAUGUGACAACGUGUAAAGUUAAAGUAAAAUGGGGCAAUAAGAACAAGAAUGCUAGAGUUAGCAAGAGAAAUGAAAAUGUAAAGAAUGUGAUUGCAUGAGUUUGCAACAUAAAGUGAUGUAAAGAACACUAGAGCUAGUGUAAAGUCAAGAUUGAACUUAUAAUCUUUUGAGUUAAGGAUAUGAUCAUACUUGCUAUGAGUUCCGUGCUCGAGGGCGGUCGCUCCCCCUCGAGCGAUGCGCUCCGGAGUUAUGCAUCCGGGUUGGAGUAAACCCGAAAGGACGGUCCUAGCGGGUGAGUUCCUGCGAUGAUGGACUUAAUGUGAAGCAAGUUAAAG